UGCAAGAGUAAGGUCGAUGAUGGAUGAUC
RNAcentral lists this small RNA (29 nucleotides) under Bombyx mori (domestic silkworm). RNAcentral's name for it is "ovarian small RNA-8467". Lineage: Eukaryota; Metazoa; Arthropoda; Insecta; Lepidoptera; Bombycidae. The record is from RNAcentral.